Molecule: ribosomal RNA, 377 nt
Filed under: uncultured bacterium
Lineage: Bacteria
Description: bacterial SSU rRNA
Rfam family: Bacterial small subunit ribosomal RNA
Source: RNAcentral
UAAGACGAACCGUCCAAACGUUAUUCGGAAUUACUGGGCUUAAAGGGUGCGUAGGCGGCGCGGUAAGUUGGGUGUGAAAUCCCUCGGCUCAACCGAGGAAUUGCGCUCGAUACUGCCGUGCUCGAGGGAGACAGAGGUGAGCGGAACUUAGGGUGGAGCGGUGAAAUGCGUUGAUAUCCUAAGGAACACCAGUGGCGAAAGCGGCUCACUGGGUCUCUUCUGACGCUGAGGCACGAAAGCUAGGGGAGCGAACGGGAUUAGAUACCCCGGUAGUCCUAGCUGUAAACGAUGAGCACUGGGUUGGAGGGUCCUCCAUAGCCUUCCAGCCGCAGCGAAAGUGUUAAGUGCUCCGCCUGGGGAGUAUGGUCGCAAGGCUG